CUAGAAGAGCAUAAUAUAUUUGAUAAACUGUAUAUUAAUAUGGUUUCAAGAUUUGUUUUAAUUAAUUUCGAUAAUUUCGAUAAAUAACUAGUUGUUAGUUUGUCUAUAACAUUGUAAGAAUCUUAAGUUUUGUUAAUUGAAUUUGCACAAAUUCUUUGUGGGGCUCAACAAAAAUCUUCACAAAUUCGCCUACAAAAUUAUUGUUUAUAGUGAUAACUGAUAAGAUGAUCAUCCUGUAUAUAGGUACCAUACGUAUUACGCAUAUGUGAUGUAUAGUUUAUUAACUUAUUAUAUUACGAGUAUAAGUCGUCUAAAGAAAUAUUUUUUUUCUUUUUAUUGACAUCGACGCACACACACUAGCUGUUUUGAAGGAACCAGUCUUACUCGUUUUUUGUAAAAUAAAUAUUUCUCUUUAAAUUGAAUUGCUUAAAAAUCGCCUCGUCGCUCACUCACCCCACAUUUGCACUUAGCCUUCACACGACGCAGACUCGCUAUUUUUUUUUCUGCACCGUGUCUGCACCGUAUCGCACUCUUUGCCCGGCUGUAACGUGUGGUUUCUCCGAACUGAUCGAACAAAUUAAUAAUUAAUAACACAUAUUAUACACCGAGAGCCGUCUCAUUGCGAUACAUUAAACGCGUUUUGGGUCGUCCACCGACGACACAUAAUGAUAUUUAUGUCAUAAUAUUAUUAUUAUUACUAUAUAUAUAUAUAGUGACGACGACGGUAGUCCGAAAGCGGUCUCGAGCGGCGACUUUUCUGCGACGUGGCCAAACCGCGCGCUGCGCCUGCCGCGACGAUCGUCCGCAAAACGAUAUUAUUAUUAGUCUCAACUCUCUGACCGGCCGUAUAAAUCCGGAUCGAAUUCCCUCCGCCAAAGCCCCGGAGACUUCUUCGGUUUUUUUUUUCUGUUCGUCACAUCCAGACCACUAUAAUAAUAUUCUAGAUCAACAGAUGCACACACACACACGCACACACCUGUUUUUUUUAUAUUAUAGUUAUUUUCAUUUAUCAUUAUUUGUAUUCGUCGUCCUCGGCCAAGCAGCUAAGAGGGGAGGGCAUGCAACACACGCACGGGUCGCCAUUAACCGCCUACCAUGUCGACGGCGGGCAAGGUCGUUUACGGGUCACAAGUCAUCGGUGUUUUACCAUAAUGAGCGCUGCGCCUUUUUCAUUAUUAUUAUUAUUAUUAUUGUUAUUUCUUUUCGUGACGUCUGUCGACAGUGGCAGUGGCGACGUCGGCGAACACACCGCUGUGACCGUAUAUACCGUAUAUAUAACCUAUACACGAAACUCAUAAUAUAUCCUACCUACACUGCACUGCACACAGCACACACUAUAAUGUACACGUACCUAUUACGUAUUAUAUGGUACUGCACUGUUGUAUUUAUAACAACACCUCAUACGCUGCACGUACACACCUCUAUUAUUAUCGUUGUAUGUACACCGCGUCGAGAGUAUACUGUGUAUUGUUUACUCGGUGACAUCAUUUUCCGGAAAGUUUAAUAUUUGAUUUCGACUAACUAACUAACUGGCUUAUCCGGCGAUAAAAAAUAUAAAGAGAUACCUACAACAGACACCUCUCCACAUAAAUAUAUAUCAAACAAUAUGUACCCACGGUUUUACGACUCACACUUGUCGCGCAUAAUAUAGGUACGCGCCCACGAGGUGAAACGAGCGUUCACAGGUUGACGUCGUUUAUCUAACGUUAAUAAUUGUAUGCGUCGUAUCGAUGUCGUUUUUGAUAUUUGUAUAUAGUAACGUGUUCAUCACACAUUCAUGGCUGUGUUCGUAAUAAAGCGUUAAUGUCACAUUGAUAAGAACGCGUUGUGUACACCAAGUCCGCGUGGAUGCGAUGGUAUUUUUCAACAAUAUUACUGUUCUUCAAUACGCAUAUAUAGCAUACCUACCAUAUUAUACGACGUACAGCCGUACAGAUUGUCGAUCACGCUGUACGCGCGGUGCAGCUUGUACACGAUCGCGUGUACGUAAUAUAAUAUAAUCGUACAUAAUAUUAUUAUUGUAUACACCGAUGUACGUACUAUGAUUACGAGCUGGUUAAGAGGAGGAUAAGUGUACCGCAACAACAUCACCGUGGGCCGACCGACGACGGCACAGCGGUCCGGAAUGGGUGCCCGGAGGUCGGCAGAACCAGAUCUCGGGUCAGCCGGGUCAUCGGAAGAAAAAAAAACAACCACAGAUAUGCGUCGGGUCGUUCUGGGGUCACGUUAUACACGAAUACAUGAUAUACACUGCACACGCACACGCAUGCUGUACCACUAAGUAGCCAGCAGGUAUCUGAUAUUCUAUUAUAUAUAUAUAUAUUACUGUAAAAAUACGAAUACCGGUUAAACCUAGGUUUUACCGGUAAAUCCUAGGUUUCACCGACUACUGUGGGUAAACGUUCGAUCGAUUUCGGUCAAAUCUAGGAUGCACAAAAUAGUCAAACCCCGAUUGAAUGUUGUAUAGUUUGGACUUUUACAAACGAGAUUUGGUAAAUAUUAGAAUAAACGAUCAUUGUUGUUAAAAGUCCGUCAUUCAUUACCAAUUGUGUAAUUUUUUUCUGAAGUUUCUUGUUACCUAUAUACAUUUGAAAAAUAAAAACCUCUAUACUGUCAUGCGUAACAUUUACACAAUGUAUUUCCUGCGACUCGUAACAAUAAUAUAAUAUUGAAUGAUAUUUCGAUGAAAUGAAAGGAGAAAUAAAUCAGUUUUGUGAAGUGGGGGGAGGGGGAUGGGGUGAGUACAAAGUUACAAACGUUAAAAAAAAUGCAGCCCGCUGACCAGUGACCAGUGACCACGACCGACGACGACGACGACGGGCGGUCGUGCGUACACUAAUAAUAAUACACGCCGGACCGUGAAAAACGUUAAUUUUUUAUAUCCAUUUAGAUUGUUUCGUUUUUUUUUCUUUCAUUUCGCGCACAAUACAAUUGAACGGACAACCGCUGCGUUGAAUGAUAAAAAGAAACGAAAAAAUAAAAUAAAAAAACAGUAGUAGAGGCCAGAGGGAAUGGUCGAGCAAGGCAAUCGAGCGCGGCUUUUGAACUUCGCCGCCGUAGUGUUGACCUCUAUAUCGACGGUGAUUAGUUAAAACAUUAGCAAAAGUGCACGGACCAACUUAAAUUCAAAAUUGUGUUUUUGAAUUUCCAUAUAGUGUAAAAACGGACAUUGUAAUAUUUAUAACCGAAAAGUUGAUUUUUUUUACGGUUUUAUUUGGUUUCUAAACACCGUCGAUAUAAUACAGUAUAGUUUUCUUCGGGAACUAUUAUUACAUCUAUAAUAUAUUAUAUUAACAAAACAUGCACAGUUAAAAUCAGAUAGGUAGGUCCUACGUAUUUUUCGGCUCUUGACAAUCUGCAUGCGGCCACCGCGCACGUACCCAUUGCCACAUCAUUAGCACAGUGGCCAGCCAUUAUAGGUUUUACUGUCGUCGUUAGUAUAUAAUAAUAUUAUUCUAUCGGACGGAAAUCGUAUUUGGAAAAAAAAAUCACAGUCAUCCCGAGUGCGUUUUAUUGCUGAUGCUUCCUCCGAAUCAGUGACAAUAAUUUACAAUCCCAUUGUUUAGUUUUUAUUUUUUGCUGCUAACGAACUCCUCCUUUAAAAUACCGCAAUAUCGUCAUUAUUACAUUCGCCGCCACUGUUCGCAGAAGUGACUAACCCACGCGUUAUUAUAUUAUUAUUAUUAUUAUUAUUAUUGUCAUUGUUGUGGUAGGUAUUUUACACGUGCCCCGAAAAAUUACUUAGUCAUUUUAUCCCUUGUUCAGAUAUUUACGUGAUAAAUUUUAAAUCUCGAUUUAUAACCUAGUUUGAAUAAUCAGCGGCGUCAUUUGAGGGGUGGAAAGGUGGGCAUUUGCACUUGUCUGAUUUUAAAAGCAGCCCAAUGGGCCGGUUCCCGGUUUAUGCACGUAUUUAUCAAUGAAAGGGAAUACAAUAUGUAAAUAUGGUAUUGCGAGUGGUUGUUUUUAAGUUAACCAUUUGGGCUGGUAAAAACUUUUGUCCCCCUCUAUUGAAAACUGAAAUGAUGCAUAUAAAUAAUUAUAUAUUACAACUUAACUACUUAUUCGAAAUUUGAUUUUUAUAAAGCAAUAUUCUCAAAAAAUAUAAUUAUUUAAAAAAAAAUAUAGUUUUUUAAUAACUUAUUAAUUAUGAAUUAUUAAAUAUGAAACAAAUAUAUUUUUAAAACCAUUAAUCAGUUUCAAAAUAAUGAAAAUAAUGAAUGCUUACUGUUAAUAAGCAUCCAGUAGUUGGACUAUAAGUUUUUUUUUUUGGGGGGGGGUCCGGCCUUUAGACCAUCCCGUGAAACAAAUUUCCCUCCAUCUUAUUUGGACUAUAAGUACUAACCUUUAAAUAUAAUAUAACUAUAUAUACGUAGAUAAUUUAAUGCAAACUCGCGUUCAGUUAUUAUACAUAUUUUCGACGUGUCAGCGGUCAAACUCAAACCCAAAUCGUAUUUAUUUUCUUAAAUAAAUGUAACGACAACAAUGUUUGUGACAAAACGUGAUAAAAUACCAAAUAAAAGAAGCAAAAAAAAUUAAAAAAAUACUAUAAUAUUGUUAUUUAGUUUGUUUUCAAACUACCUAUACACAACAAUGCGAGAAAAACGUGUAAGCAUACUUAAAAUAACUAAAAGGCGACCGGACCAGUUCUCUUUUUAGAGGCGGUUUGUUUUUUGUUUUGUGUGGUCGAAUUCGGAUUUUGACAGUAAAAAACAUAAUGAAAAAAAAUAAGUGAUUGGGCAACGGUAGGAACCAGCUGACGGCGGUGCGCGGUGGAUCUAAUCGCCGCCGCUGCCAUAUAAUAUACUACGCUAUAAUAGGUAUAUGGUAAAGACUAGUUUUGAGUUUCGACGGUAUAUAAUGCAUACACACUACGCAUAUACGAACCGGUUGAUCCGAUCUGGUUUUGAUCGGUCCUAAAGGCGGCGGCAGAGAGACGACAACGGCGCGACGACGACGACGACGACGACGACGACGACGAUCGACCGUAGCUCGGGGCCCCGCGAGCGGAACGAAGAAUGUGACCUCUACCUUUUGCCUCCGCCGCCGCACGUCGAACUUUUGAGGAGAGAACACACACACACACACGCACACACACACGCACACACACACACACACACACACACGCACACGCACACACACAGACACACGCGCGCGGGCGCGCACGCACACAUGUGUACAACGCACACCCGUCCGGCCACGGCAGUCCUUGAUCUCGUGAGGUCAGUGUUAAAGGUCAGACGUGAUGGUUUCACCGUGAGAGACGUGUGGCCGUCGCACGUACAUAUCAUAGCCAACGAGGAAGCCGCGCGUUCGGUGCAACAGUAGUAGUAGUAGUAGAAGUAGUAGUUGUAGUAGUAGUAUAAACGUGGUAGUGUGCGAGUGGUAUGAGUAGUAGUAGUGGUAUCAACCAUGAUAGUGGUAGUAUAUAGACGUAUAGUAGUGACUAUAUUAUAGUGUAGCUGCACAGGCAUACUAAUAUGUAUUACAGCCAGUAAAGAGUUGUGCAUUAUAUUAUAGUCUUAUAACAUUGUUGUCCGCGUCCGUUUUUCCAUAUUAUACUUCUAGGUAUAUAUUAUGUAUACGAAGUGAACAAAACACACAAAUAAUACGGUAAAAUUAUAUUUUUAAUAUGAUACAAAAUAUAUUACUACGGUACGUGCACGCGGCUGUCGUCAGUGGCUGCGAAUUUAGAAUUUUCGGUUUGUUUAUGAACUAUGAUUAUAUACCACGCGACAAAUCCGUAGAAGUUGUAUCAUUAAAAUAUAUUAUGCUUCUAAAUAAAUAUUAUGUUUCCAUAAAUCAGCUACGUUUUAGUUUCCGAGCUUGACAUUUUAAUACAAGGUUCCUUGUAAGUUGUAUAAUAGCAGCUUAAAAAUACUAAACAUACGUAUAUGCGUGAUUUUUAUGAUUAUUCAAAGUUCAAGUUUUAACAAAAAUCGUCAAAAUCAAGAAUUUUCGUCUCAUGCAAAUCAUGUCCAAUAUGAUUUGUCUUUGGAAGUGUCUUUCCAACUCAUUAUUUUUCCUUGCUCUCCGUCAUUUACUGGUCCGAAAAUCUUCCUUAGGAAUUACAAAGGUUAUUCGAACGGAACUCGGAUGCAGCUAUACGGAUAAUAUACAUAGCUAUACUGCGUUUAAAAUGAACAAAAUGUUCGGCGGCACUCAGUAUAUCUCUUGAGUCUAAAUACAUAUUAUAAUUCUAUUCGAAAUAUAAAAUUAUCAUAUUAUACAAUGCCACGUGUGUGUCUAUGUACAUUGUACGUAUGUAUAAUAUAAGUACACCGUUGAUAAAAUCUGAUCGUUCCAAUGAGAUCGUGCUCUGCGUAAUAAUAAUAAAUAAUAAUAAUAAUAAUUUAUAUUUUAUUAAUAUCGCGUCUUAACGUCACCUCGUCCUUGCACUGGGCGUAAAAGACCGGCGGUGGCAGACGAUGUGCCAAUAAUCAGAGGCGUUAGGUCAUACAUAAUAUAUAACAAUAUUAUAUAUUAUAUUUGUAUUGGUUGUAGAAGUGUAGUUACCAUAUUAUAUUAUUUACAAAUUUACAAUAUUAUACUAACACUCGCAGGUGAUUAGAUAUUAAGAACCGGCAUUGCAACGAGACAAGUCAUACCUGUAAUAAUAUUACUUAACAUAAUAAUACGUACGUGUCAUCUUUAUUUCUUGUACGGUAUAGCAUACGACAUAUUAACUGGUUUGGUAGAAUCUCAAUACAUCAAUGGUGAAAGUUAUAUAUAUAGUACCUAAUAAUUAUUGUUUAACUUGAUUUUAAAAUGGAUGACGUAAAAAGUUAAUAUCACAAUAUGUUCAUACCCUAAUAUUGCAAGUUUAGAUAACAAUAUUCCUAUAAGUCAGUGUAAUUAGUGUAGUUCAUAUAAAAGUUCAAUUUUAUCGGUCUUUAAAGUAUUUAAUUUGGUAGUGGGAUCUAGGUAGUCGUUAUUAAGUAGGAAUAUAAAAAAGAUAAAGACAUUUCGUCAGAUUUUAAAGUGAUUUUAUGCAGAGAUAAUAAUACGACGCUUCAAAAUAAUGAAAAACAAUUUUCGAGUGUAUAGUCUUUAUCAUAAUAAAAAUCUAUUAGUGAAAAGUCAAACCUAUUUGACGUUAUAUAGACUCAUAUAAAACAAAAAAUUGUGUUGAUACAAAAUUCUAAUAACCAUAAUAUAAUAUUAUGAAAUUGUAAGUCUGCAUAUAUUAACCUACUCGUGUUUUCAACGUU
Long non-coding RNA from Metopolophium dirhodum (rose-grain aphid), 7208 nucleotides. RefSeq lists it as uncharacterized. The transcript is spliced from 3 exons. The record is from RefSeq and is a predicted model, not a curated record. Lineage: Eukaryota; Metazoa; Arthropoda; Insecta; Hemiptera; Aphididae.